Molecule: ribosomal RNA, 1227 nt
Filed under: Tenebrionoidea sp. 11 KM-2017
Lineage: Eukaryota; Metazoa; Arthropoda; Insecta; Coleoptera
Description: 16S ribosomal RNA
Rfam family: Archaeal large subunit ribosomal RNA (bases 846-1192)
Source: RNAcentral
ACUGUAUUUUUUACUUUGUUUAUUAAUUUUUUUGUUUUUGUUAGAAGUUUAUAAUUUUUUAUUAUUUUUUAUGGAAAAAAUAUUUUUAGUUAUAGUUUAAGGUACUGUGAGGGGUUGAUAUUUUGUUUAAGAAAGAAAAUUUUAUUUUUUGUACCUUUUGUAUCAGGGUUUAUUAAUUUAAGAUAAAGUUUAUUUAUUUUCCCGAUUCUAGGAGAGCUAUAAAUUUAUUGAUUUUGCUGUUUCAUAAUCAUUUUUAAUAAAUUUAUUGUGGCGAGAUGUUAUUCGUUUCUAGGUGUAUCUGGUUUUUCAAGAAAUGAAUUUAAUUCAUUAGGAAUUGUAUAAUAUUUUUUUAAAAAAAUUAUUGUUUUUUUUCUUUAAAUUUAGGAGGGGAUAAGCUUUUCUAUUUUUUAAAAAUUUGUAUUUUCUUAUUUUUCAUAGGAUUAGAAUUUUCCAUUGUUUAAAUUAUGUUAUAUUUUGUUUUGUUUUUAUUUUAUUUUUAUUUGUUUUAAUUUUUUAUUGAAAUUUAAUUAUUAAUUUUUUUGUUUAGUAAUAAUGAUAGAAUUAGUAUAAUUGUGUGUUUAUUAUUUUUUUUCUUUUUAGUUUAAGUAAAGGAAUUCGGCAAAUUAAUUUCCACCUGUUUAUUAAAAACAUGUCCUUUUGUUUAUGUUUUAAGGUUUGGCCUGCCCUAUGAUUUUAAAUGGCCGCAGUAUUUUGACUGUGCAAAGGUAGCAUAAUCAUUAGUUUUUUAAUUGAGAUCUGGAAUGAAAGGUUUGAUGAGAAAUUAACUGUCUCUAUUUUAUUUUUAGAAUUUUAUUUUUGAGUUAGAAAGCUUAAAUUUUGUAUAAAGACGAGAAGACCCUAUAGAGUUUUAUUUUUUCUUGAAUUUGUUUUUUUGUUUAUGUUUAUUUAAGAAGAAGUUUUGUUGGGGUGAUUAUUAAAUUUAUUGAACUUUAAUUUAUUUUCACAGUGAUAACUGGUUAUUUGAUCCUGUUGUUUGGAUUUUAAGAUAAAAUUACCUUAGGGAUAACAGCGUUAUCUUUUCUGAAAGUUCUUAUUGAAGAAAAGGAUUGCGACCUCGAUGUUGGAUUAAAAUUUAUUUUUGGUGUAGUAGCUAAACUAUUAGGUCUGUUCGACCUUUAAAAUUUUACAUGAUCUGAGUUUAGACCGGCGUGAGCCAGGUUGGUUUCUAUCUUUUAUUUUUUUUGAUGUUUUAGUACGAAAGGACCA